RNAcentral lists this long non-coding RNA (15024 nucleotides) under Equus caballus (horse). RNAcentral describes it as "lncRNA (ENSECAG00000052357.1)". The record is from RNAcentral. Lineage: Eukaryota; Metazoa; Chordata; Mammalia; Perissodactyla; Equidae.
GAACUUCUCAAGUGCACUGAGGCCAUCGACCGCUAGGGGCGCGCACGGGUCCUCGGGGCCUUUUGCGCAUGCCCCUUGGCAGCCGUCCCGCUUUUAAUGCUGGUGGCUAGCCUUUUAAGGCUAGCGGCGAUUUCGCGGUCUCGGGCGCUGGUUAGUGGAUUAAGGCGGACGGUCUGUUGCGAAACCUCUCUGUUGGGGAGGUUCCAGCAUUUUCAUUAACCAGCAGGAACGGGUUGGGGCCUAUGUGCAAACUGGGAAUGAUGACCCGUUCCUGCCGCAGGGCAGGUUUUGAGGGGAGGGAGCGACAGUAGUCUCGGCGUUCGGGCGGUACUGGUUCAGAUCGCGUCCGUUCCCUGUGCUUUUACUCCGGGCGCGGGGCCCUGACUGUUCCCAGCACCUUCGUUUCCAGAAAGCGUUUUUGCCCAGAGAGUGGAGUGAGAAGAUUUGCUCUGCUUUCGGCUGCUUAUCGGCCAUCUAGCUGAGUCACUUGGAAGCUGUUAAACUAACAAAACAAAACAAAAACAAAACCCCGAAUGAAACAACAACUACACAGCUUCCUGGCCACGGAACCAGGACCUGCGGGGAGGUGGCGGGGCGGCUGCCUUUGAGCGAGCGCUCCGGAAGAGGCCGGUGUCUGGUUAGGGCUGGACCUCCCGGGGUAGGGCAGCCCGGCUCCUCCCGCGGCGCCCACGAGUGGAAGGCGCGCAGUCAGCACGGUUGGGAAGAACGACUGAAUUAGUCACUGUCUUCAGAGGUCGAAGGGAGGUUUCACAGCCGAUGAUAAGCCGUGUUGACAACUCUUGGGAAAUGGGCUGUCGCUUUGAGUGUAUAUUACUACAACUUUUUAAGGAGUGUAAAUUGUGUUCUCUCUCUCAGAAUUGAAAGUGCCAUUACCUUCCACCUGGGAAUUUCAUCUAUAGGAAUCCAUCCAAAAAUAUAUGUACAAUUUCACCGAAGCAUUAUUUGUAAGAGGGGGAGAAAAAGAGCAUGAGACAGACUUUCCUGUAGCCAGUAACAGGAAGGCUGCUAUUAGAGACAGCCAGAAGACCUUGCUGGGUGAAGAAGACGAGCUGCAGACCAGUAUACAUAAUAUGACCCUAAAAGAUUCACACGCGCAUGUUUCUAUGUGUAAAGACAACUUCUGGAAGGAUUCGAAAGUAACAACUGACAGUAAUUACCUCUGAGGGGAGGGGUCGGAUUGCAUGGGAGAGAGAUAAUACGUUUCAAUUUGUCCCUUGCCAUAUUGCUUGGAUUUUUAAAAACCACGACCAUGCAUUACUUUUAAUAGCCUUUAAGUCUGGUUUAGUAAUGGCAUUGCGGUCUCCAGUGCUGGUUAGUGGAUCAAGGCAACUAAUCUGUCAUGAAACCUCUAUGUCAGGAGAUUCCAGCACUUUCAUUAACCAGCAGGAAAGGGGUGGCGCACAUUUGUAAAUCAGGAAGAAUGGCCCCGUUCCUGUCGAAGGGCUGUUGGAGGGGUGGGGAGCAACAGUUAACACUAUUGUUAAUUGUUCAAAAGUUGGGGGGACUUUUCUAUGGAAGAGAAAAUCAACUUAUUCCAAGAAGCUGUGGAGGGAAGAACUCUAACCAAUUUUGAGACAGUUUUAGCUAAAAAUAAGGAAAAACUUUGCUGGGCAUUAGGCUGAGGCUGGCAUGGAGAAGACAGUGUGUGCUUCAGAAAGGAGUGUGGCCUAGAUAGCUCUUCCAGCUGUGAGAUCCCAUAGGUCUUUGGGGGUGCCGGGUCAAGUGCUCUGAUGUCAGACUACCUGGUUUGACUCAAAUCCCACUGCCACUAAAUAGGGCUGUGUGACCUUAGGUGAGUUGUCUAACCUCUCUGUACCUCAGUGUUUUCAUAUGCGUGGUGGGGAUAAUGAUGACACCUACCUCAUCUACCUCAUUCUUGUAGGAUUAAAUGAGAUGGUACAUGUAAAACAUUUACUGCAGUUCCUGUUAAAAAAAUGUUAGCAUUUCUUUGCUAUCUUAUACGAUGGAUUGACACAAAAAAUUAAAAAGAGGAGCUGGGCCAGUGGCAUAGUUGUUGGGUUCCAUGCACUUUGCUUUGGCAGCCUGGGUUUGGGGGUUUGGAUCCCUGACGUGGACCUAUACCACUCAUCAGCCAUGCUGUGGUGGCGACCCACAUACAAAAUAGAGGAAGAUUGAUGCAGAUGUUAGCUCAGGGUGAAUCUUUCUCAGCAAAAAAAUAAAAAGAAAAAAAUAAAAAGAAUCUGAGAAAUAAUUCCUACUAUUGGAACGGCUGUUUUAUUUUUACACCUUUAAGUAUUUGUGGAAACAGCCAAAUAUUGGAUUUUCAGGAUUAAUGGAAUUAGUGGAUUGGUGGAAUUGCAUACACACUGGAUGAUUUUGCUUACAGAGGGAAUGGUUGAGGUUUUUUCCAGAUGCUGGCUCAGUGCUGCCGCAUAGUGGCCAAUCCUAGGAAUGGCUACUUGGAUAAAUUGGCCUCUUCUUCCCAGAGCGCUGUGUGCUAGGGUGUGUGAGGCAGGCAGGCAGGGGGGCCCAGCUGUGGGCCCAGGGGUGAGUGGGUCAGUCCACACCUUGGAAAGGAAAGGCGUGUUUGAGUGCCCACCAGUGACCCAGGCAAGAGGAAACCCAGUGCGCUUGACUGUAGUCUCACCUCCUGUGUAAUUUACUUAGCACAUUUGACUUUUCCUCUUAAGACACUCAAGUUCAUCUUGUCUAUAAACAACGUUACUGAGCUGCUCUGCCGUCUGGUGUGCCCUUGGCUUUCCUCCAACGUUGGUGGAAGAAACAGCACAUGAAAACCACUUCCUCUUUGGCCAUAAAACUUAGAGAGGCCGCAGUGUCCUUACUGUUCCCGAAAUAAGCUCUUGUGUGAAAAAUUCUUUUCAAAUUUAGGGCUAGGAGAAAGUUUGUAUCCUCUGGUGAGCUCUGUGACUUAUGAUGCUCGCUUCUCUGCUCCAGCUGUUGAGAAAGAGCGCGAGUGUGAUGCCCAGUCUUAGCGAUUAAGUAGGCCCAAAUGGAUCAUGUAUUUGCUUCCGCCUCCUUUUCUUGGUACUGCCUUAAAAAAAAUGUUUUUUUGUGGAUCUUGUAAUUUCACUGACUUCGUUGACUUCACCGCACAUUUGUACUUUGGUCUAUGCUCUCAUAUCCUUUCAAGAAAGAGGUAAAGGAUCCAUCCAUGAAGUGGAAAGUGGAAUAUUUGAAGUUUUUUUUUUUUCUGGUGAGAAGUUUUUUGAGAUGAUUUUAAGUCAGUGGUUGCACUUGCAUUUUUGAGACUAACAAGUUUAUGGGUCAAAGAUUUCAAAUCAUAAUUUUCUUUUACUUGGGAAAAUGAGAAGCUCAUGCAAAUAAGGCCGUCAAGGAAGUUGUGAGGUGUGGACAAAAGAUCAGAAGCUAUUAAGGUUCAUUUCCUUAUCCACUGCCACCAAGGAUAAUAUUGCAUCAGCAUUCACAUUUAGAGAUGGAAAGUUGGGAGACUAUUUGGUCCCAAAAUAUUUUUCCACUGCUGUCUGGAAUGCCUGCGUUAGGGCUCGCCUCCUUGUAGUCGUCUUUAAGUAUAAAAAUUGUCCUGGGAGGGUUAGGGUAUCAGUUCCUUGGUACCUUGGAGCCAAUAAGUGGAGCCCCAGGUUCUCCCUUCUGCAGAUCCUUUCAGAGUCUGGGUUUUUGCCUUCCCACCAAGAGAAAUGGCUCCUUGGGAGAGCAGAGGCUGGUGGGUGAGAAAGCUCUGGUUCAGCUUCAACUGUCUGUGUGACCUUAGAUAAGCCCCAGGACCACUCUGGUCCCCCCCACCCCUCCCAGCAUGAAGGGCUUGCAAGGACACUUCUGCCUUCUGCGUAGCCAGUCCAGCUCCCUCCCAGGGCCCUGCGAAGACGACUCUGCAGCCUGGGCUGGUGGAGUCACCUUUCAGCCCUCCGGCGCCUCGGCUCCUCUGUUUACUCUCCAGUAAAGCCUUCGUCUGUUUACUCAGCAAAGAUUCUUUUAAGACAGGCUAAGCACACGGUUUGCUCUGCUAACAAGCCUUGGCAUUUAUUGUGAGGACCUUUGUUGACUUAUUCUUGAGUCUCCAUUGACAUUCACUGGGAAACGUUAACGCAAACAGAGGAGACAUCCUGGGAGCUCCAGGCCUGGCAGAGUGCUCCAGGAAGGGCCAUCCUUUCUGUUUUGGUUAGAACCAUCUUGAGAGUUAAAAAUAACAAUCAUAUACGCACCAUAAAAGAUUCUAAUGAUCUUUUAGUUUCUAGGAUCAGUAUCUGAGCACUUCUGCAAAAGGUCUCUAGAAAGCUUGCUGUGUUCAUUCUGGACAAGAGGGCAGCUGUGCCAGCCACUUUGCAGACCUCCUUCCAGGCGCAGAGUCCUCCAGCAUGCUGGGAACCGCAGCGCAGCCACAGAGAACCUUGGGCUGGGGGUUCAAGUACAGCCCCGCCUCUAGGUGGCCGUGGGAUCUUGGGACAGUCACUUCCCCUCUCUGGCUCUCGGUUUUCUCAUCUGUAAGGUGAGGGGAAGUGGUCCACAUGCUCAUCUUCCCAGCUGGACUGGGCCCUAGGCCCGAGCACAGGUCCUAAGAGUACUCAACAAUGUUUGUUGAAUAAAUGGUGAAUAAGCCACUCCAGCCCAUCUCUCCCGCCUUGCUCUGACAUCCUGUGCCUGAAGCCUCCCAAGAGACAGCCUUGGCCUUGAGUCAUAGUCUGACAGGAUCUGCUAAUGGGGUCAUUGCAGACAACCACAAACCCUCAACGUCUGAAUCAGCCGUUGCGGCUGCUAAGUGGUUUCACCUGCUCCACCUCUCGCCUCCUCUGCUCCCCAUCCAAGCUGGUGCUUGUAAAGGAAACAUCUUUCCAGUUCCUGCGAGGUUGGGAAACACCAUCCUUUCCAGGUGGGCAGAUGAGGGCAGCCAUGCUCCUGUCCCCCCAUCACUCUGACCGCUGGAUCCUGUGACGUGGUGAGAUCGGCUCAGUCCCCACCUCCUCUAGGAAGUCCACCGAGAUGGAUGCAAGCUCCAAGAGUCUCCCCAUUGUGGCCUCAUUUUCCUAAUGACUAGUUUUUCUAAUUCCUUCCUCCUCCGUGUCUUAAGCCCUGCACAGACUGCUCAUUUCGUAGUAUGUAAGGCAUCUCGCCACUGGAAGGCACUGUGGUAUGGUGGUUAUGAGGCUGGCACCUGGAGCCAGGCUGCUUAGGUUGGAAUCCUGGCUGCACAUCUUGCAGGCUGUGUGACUUUGGACAACUUGCUUGCCUCCUCUGAGCCUGGAUUUCCUUAUUAUACCUCAUGUGUUUCUGUGAUAAUUGAGUGAGGUAAUGCAGGUGAAGGUCAGGUGCCCAAUAAACAACAUGCAGAUGAGGAAACUGAGGCUCAGGAAGGAGAGGAGCUCAACUGUAGGGUGCUUGCCACGUAUGGGAGUCUAGACAUGCCCCGGCAGAGAGGGAGCCACUCUUGUCUCUGUUUGGCAGAUGAGGGAACCGAGGCUCAGUUCCCACACGUCUGCAGGACUAUGAAGAAUUGGAGUUGGGUUGCUGACUCCAGUGUCCGAUACAAAGUCCAGAGCUCCUCUGCCUGCUUGGUGACAGGAGGGUAGGAAGAUGUGGGGUUUGGGGGCCCGUAGGCAAGGAGCUCAAAGCCCAGAAUAAACAUUCUUACAUUUUUCUCUGCUGCUUUGCCCAAACCGCAGGAGGAUUUUCAAGAGAACAGGGUGUUAGUGAGAGGAUGGGCUGACAGGCUGCCCUUUGGCAUUAAAAGAUUUGCAGAAGAGAGUGGGAGUGAGCAGCAGGGGGCGCUGUGACACCAGACAAGAGCCGAGGCCUCCCCGGGAACAGAGCCAGGCUCCCCGGCUCCUGAGUGGACCUUAGGCAGGCUGCAGGACAGGAGCCUGCCUGUCUGCUCAGGGCUCUUUCACCCGAGGACUGGGAACCAGAGGAGUCUCCCGAAAUCUGGCUGUGUGGGCGUUAGGAGCACUGACUCUGGAGUCAGCGGACUUGUAUUUGAGAGCCUGCUCAGCUCUUUCUCGUGAGUGAUCCUGGGCAAGUCACUUCACUGCUUGGAGCCUCAGUGGCCUCACUGAAAAAAAUUAAUACCUGUCUCCAGGACUGUGGGGAGGAUGAACGCGAUGAUGCAGGUCCCUUUCUUAGCAGGAUGCCUGGCGCCCAUGAUCGCCCAGUGAAUGGCAGUGAUUAUUGCUAAUGAGACAUAUAUGAUUUGCAGGGUGGUGUCCCAAAGAGGUGAGGCCCCUGCUCUCCAAGGUCGAGGGUGCUGUGCUGCUCUGGCCCACCUGUGAUGGCCCUUCAGUGGGCUCACCCUCUAGACACUGACCUGUCUGUGUCUCUUUCUGCCCAAGCAAACUGCCCACCCCCAAGGGCCCUGCUUGUGGACGGAGGCCUAUGAAUCCCAUUUGGGCCAACAGCUUGCAGAGGUCAGAGGCGGGUGGUGUGGUCUCUGCCCUGCUCUGGACUCGCUCUAAGUCUCUUGUGCUCUCUGGACCUCGAUUUCUCCAUGUACAGCUGGAGGGGCUGCCGGAGAUAAGUAUUGGGGUCCCUCUCAGUCUAGCAUCAGAAAUCUAGGAAGCUGUCCCCGUCCUGCAAACAUAUUUAUGCUUUAGCACACCCUUUGCUGCGAAACCGCAAAGUAUGGCCUGACAGAGGGAAUGGGCGGACUCCCAGCUGAGGCCCAUGGAGGAGAGAGCUUCUGGUGACUUCCCUCAGAGGGAAGAUCUAGAGGUGAGCUGGGCCUUCCUCACUGUCCAGCUCGCCCCUCCCGUGUCUCUGUACCAUGUGGCGCUCACCCAGGGUUCAGAGUCCCGUACUCUCUACCCCCAGCGUGGUCUGCUCUGAGGGAGAGUCUGGUGGGCUAGUUUCCCCUAAGGUGGGAAUGACUGGUAGGGCUGGUGCUACCCGUUCUGAGGGCCUUUCAACUUGGGCAGCGACAGAGUUUUUAUCCAGAGAAAUUAAACUCUAUUUAUGGAAUCCCAGCAGGAGGCUCUGAAGGUGGAAGGAUGUUGCCUCCACUGAAAUCGCAGUGGCCUCCGUCCCCAGGCCUGGCUCUGCGAGAUGGGGCUGCUGGGAAAACUGGUUCAAAAGUCCACGGCACACAGCAACCAAAGAAAAAUACAUAAAUUGGAUUUCAUCAAAAUUAAAAAUGUUUCUGCUUCAAAAGUCGUCAUCAAGAAAAUGCAGAGUCAAUGCAGAGAAGGAGAGAAACAUUUGCACAUCAUAUAUGUGAUAAGGGGCUUGUAUCCAGACUAUAUAAAGAACUCCUACAACUCGACAACAAAAAGACAAAUGACUCAAUUAAAAGUGAGCAAAAGACUUGAAUACAGAUGUCUCCCGACAAGAUAUGCAAAUGGCCAAGAAGCACAUGACAGGGUGCCGCACACCAUCAGUCAUCAGGGAAAUGCAAAUCAAAACCCCGACGAGAGACCACCUUAUCCCCACUAGGAUGCUGUUAUCAAAAAGACAGACAAUAACAAGGGCUGGUGAGGAUGCGGAGAAAGUGGAACCCUCACACACUGCUGGUGGGAUGUUAAAAUAGUGUAGUCACUUUGGAAAAACAGUUUGGCAGUUCCUCAGAAAGGUAAGUCUAGAGGGACCAUAUGAUCCGGGAACAACUAGGUAUAUGCCCAAGAAAACUGAAACAUAUCCACACAAAAACUUAUAUACAAAUGCUUAUAGCAGCAUAAUUCAUAAUAGCUAAAAAUAGCCAUUGAUCAACUCUCCAUCCACUGAUGAGUCCAUAAAUUGUGGCAUAUCUAUGUAAUGAAAUAUUAUCCAGUCAUUAAAUGGAAUGAAGUACUAUACGCUCUACAACAUAGAUGAACCUUAAAAUGUUAUUUUAAGUGAAGAAGUCAGACACAAAGGGCCACAUGUUGUAGGAUUCUGUGUAUAUGAAAUGUGAAGAAGGGGUAGAUCCAUAAAGACGAAAAGUAGAUUAGUGGUUGCUGGGGCUUGGGGAGGAGGAUGGGGGUGACUGCUAAUGGGUACAAGGUUUCCCUUUGGGGUGAUGAAAAUGUUCUGGAAUUAGCAGUGAUGGUUGAACAACUUCGUGAAGAUACUAAAACCCACUGAAAUGUACACUUUAAAAGGGUGAAUUUUAUGAUAUGUGAGUGUAUCUCAAUUUUUUAAAAAGCCCAUGGAAAGAAUGGUGGGGUCCUUGAAACCUUUGAUGGAUAAUAAAUGCCCCCUCCCCAUGUCCUGUCCCCACCACCCUAGCGCAGGUGGUGACUGGGUUCUUUAGGGUAAUUUUUCCAUGAAGAUGGAAAAGCCCCAAGGGGCACUUCAAACGUCUGGGGUGUUUCUGGUGGUCACGAUGUUGAGGGGGUGCUGCUGUCAUUGGGGGGCCUGUGCGGAGACGGAUGGUGGACAUUUUGCCAUGCCUGGGGCCAUCUGACAAUGAAGAGUUGUCUUGCUUUCCACAUUAUUUCAGAAUGUCUCUUAGAACAAUGAUGUAGAUGAUUAUCUGAGCUAAAAACUAAACUCUGCUUUCCAUAAUAGACACCAAAUAUAUUUGCAAGGUUUUGACAUACGCUGAAUUUCCCGGGAAUAGUGCUACCAUGUAAAUUGGGAAGAUCAGACAGUAUCUCCUGCUUAAUGUCAGUAAUCUAUCCCCGAAAAUGAGCUAUUCUAUGAAAAUGCUUCUGGGAACGUCUUCUCUUCCCAUUCCUUUCAUCUUGUUUAUUUUCUUUCCAUUAUUUUUAAAGGAGAAAAAUUAUAUCAUUACUUGCCAAGCCCAUUCCCUUAACCAAUUUCCUAGAUAACUAAAAUCCAUUAAAAUGCUUCUGUAUAUAACAAAUGAUCAUAUGAGGUUGUAAGACACUCAAAGCUUUGCUUCCUGGUCACCCCGUAAUUAACAUGGACAUUAACAAGCAUUGCUCUGUACACAGGAAUCUGGCCUCUCUUAGCACCAUGACAGCCAAGAGGCACGAUCCACCACGACAGCCAAGAGGCAUGAUCCACUUCGUCGCUAUUUUCAUAUUUUUCAAAACACAACUUGAUUUGGAUCUUUGGCUAAUUGUAUUUGGAAUGUAUCUCGAUUGUUUUCCUGUACUUUGUUUCACUAAAAAAAUGUUGUAUUGAAUUGUGGAGACAUACACAUACAUUUUUUCCUCCCGUAUAAAUGCCUGCCCAAAUCCUGUACUGAAGACACAUGUGUUCUAUAAAGGAGUGAUCUACAGGGAGACCUGAACUUGAUCCUCUCUGGGCACUGGAGGGAACGUGAUCCCCUAGUCGGAGCUCAAAGGACCUUGGAAAAUGUCUGUCCUCCUUCAGUUCACAGGCAAGAGACAAAGGGUCGGAGGACUUGUCUCGGGUCACAUAGUCCCCAUGGCAGAAUUUGGCUGGGAGCGUAGGCUCCUGGCAUCCUGUGCUCUGCACUAGGACUUCAGGCUGGCAUUGGAGCAGCCCGUGGAAAUACAGGCCACCAGACAGGUUUGGUGGAUCGGUCACUUUGCCUUUGACCAAGCAACCUCCAAACAGCAAGUAAGCGAUAUAUCAUGUUGUCCCUGUGUUGGAAAGUAAAGGUCAGUGCAUUCUUGGUAAACAUGCUGACUGGCUAUUUACAGAACUCAGCAUGGGACCAGACUGGACGUCUGAACACGGUCAAGUCAGGGCUGUGGCAGCUGAGCAGAGAGGCUGGGGGCUUGGGGCCCAGUGGUCUGAAAACCCUGUCUGUGCACAUUUUGCUGGAGAUGAGGAGAGUUUGGGGCAGCCCCCGCUUUAGAGAAAGCCAAGCCUGUGGUCACAGGGGAGCUGCUUCCUGGACAGCAAUGCAGGUUGAUCCUGGUGGGGAGGCAUCUUAGCCUGGGUUCCCUAAAGCAGAGCCCAAGUUGGAGGCCUACGUGGGAGGAGUUUCUUCAAGAAUGGGACUCCAGGGAAGCCGGGUGCAGGCUGCAGGAGUGAGGCAGGGAAGGAGUAACCAGUACAGAAUGCUAGAUGGAGCUGCCUUGGCUCCGUCUCUCGGGGCCUUCUGUAAAGCCUCAUGAAACGAGUCUCAGAACGGCCUGCCGGGAAGAAGGGAUACCGUUUAUUCAUCCCCCUUUGAUCCAGGGUUACCUGUGGGGCGUUCAUCACAUGAGCAUCAAGGGGUUGCUGCAGGCAUCCUUGCCUCCCUGGGGCAGGAGGAGAGAGGAGGGGGGCGUGAUGAGGACCCAAGUGAGACUCAGGCAGGUUGUACCUUCACAAAACCGAGCAAAGCUUGUGAGGAACUAGUGAUGUGGGGCCAGUGUGGGUAAGAAAUGAGACUGAGGGGCUCUGAAGUGGUGCCAGGGGGGGUCAGUACAAGUGGCUCAUCCUUUAGAUCUGGACCCAGACGUCACUGCCCAGACUAAGUUAGUGCUCUCUGUUACUGGCUCUGAAAGUGCCUUCCUUAAACUGUAUCUUUGUAACACUAUCAUCGUUUAUAACAUUGUAUUUAUUUGUGCGAUUAUUGAAUAUAUGUUUCCUUCUCUAGGCUGCAAGCCUCAAGCAAGCUCCUGGCAUGGCCAGCAUGGACGAGGGGCAACACUUUGGCCAAACUGAUCACCCAGGGCUCCCCCUUCCUGCUUCCUUUGCUCCAGCUUCUCAGCUCUGAAGACACCCAGGUCCCUCUGUGCCCCAGCUUGCCUUAGCGUUCUCCUGCUGAGAGUGCCCUCUCCACAUAUCCCCAGGGCCAUCUCCUAUUGAUUCAACAGUUUGGCCUAAAUGCUAUCUCCUUCAGAGGGCUUCCUUAUGUUACUGUCUCCAGGUUGGGAAAGAAAAGCACUGUCUCUCUCCUUCCCUCUUCCUCCAUCUCCUCCGUCAUUCUGUCUCCCCCUACAUGCUCUUUCCUACUCUCAUAACCUUGCCGCAGGCUUGUCUUCUCUGCUGAAUUACAUUGCUUGCUCCUUUAGGGCGGGAGACACGCCACAUCCAUUUUCGUGUCUUCCCCAACCCCUCUACUGUGUCUGGGGUGAGCACAUUAACUCCGAGGCAGCCAGAGUGCCCAGCCCCUGAAAACCUGAAGGAGACUGCUUGAAGCCUUAUUUCAUCCCCUGGGAACCCACAGCCCUUUAAGAUGCAACUUCCUGCAAAUCGUCACCAUCCACUUUGGCUCCAGACUCCUGCCUCUGUGGGAGCUCAUUUUCCUUUCAGCUGCUCCCUUCUCUCUUCCCUGGACUUGACUCAAACACAGGGCCUAGGUCUUUCUCCUUGGUCGUCUACUCCAAAGUCACACAAGCAGUAGAAACCUUCCUGAAGGUUCUUGGGUCACCAGAAGGUGCCUCAUUGUCCUCCUUAUAGUGAUAACCUCAGUAAUAUUUCAUGUUAUACAUUUUACCUUAUGAAAAGUUCUGCCAGCUUCCAUGCUAACUGGCUCUUCUUCCCCCUCUCCUCUCGGGAGCUCAGCCCUCCUGCUCUGGAGCAAACAAACCAGGUUCCUCCCAGGCCAGCUCUGCAGGGCGAAGGUGAACCCAGGGGGCUGCCUGUAACAGAGCCUGGCCUCAGCAGGAGGCACUGGAGCCGGGCCUAUGUGGGACCCCAGAGCCCCCUCCACGGUCCUCGCAGGAUUCUGGGAACCCCAGUCCUGGUAGGUUUGGCCUCCCUGCCUCUCCCUGCCUGAAGGGCCUUCUCUCUCCUCACGGCAACUCCAAUGGGACCUGGCGCGGCUUCAUCCCACUGCGUGGAGUCAGAUCCCAAACAAACCGCCUUUCUUGGGAGACCAACACCCUGGAACCCACUAAUCUCCUCCAGCAGCUUCGUGUCACUCUCUGUGAUCUUAAUCUCUCCUGGCAGGACUUGAUGGAAAAAGCAUCCAGGGGAAACCAGAUCUUUCUGAGCAAAGCCAGGCUGCCUCCCCGCCUGCUCCCUUGCACCACUGGGCCUGCUCUGCCCAUGGAAAGCUCACAGCGCUCCACGCUCUCCUGCUCUCCUCUCAUUACUGCGGGCUCUGCCUGCCCCAGGAUGGGACUCUGGGCCCUGGGCCUUCAGGGCAAGGGCUCCAGCUCAGCUCCUCUGCAAGGAGGACGAUGUGUGGGGAAGAGGGAAGAGUGGGCUUUCAGAGCAGAGGACCUGGGUUUGCAUUCCUGCCUACCAGCGCUGCACAGGCAGGGAAGGUCACGGAGAAGUUGGCUGUGUGACCUCAGGUGAGUCUGCCAACCAUUCUGCGCCUCAGUGUGCUCACCUGUAACCCGGGCGUAAUGACAGUGCUGCUGCCUCACAAGUCACAGCGAGCACUAGUAAGAGGAGGUCGGGGGGUGCUCUGCGGACUUCAAUUAGCCACUCAGCUUAAUGGCCCCACUCACUGCGUGACCUCGGGAAGGUCACUCCCCUCUCUGGCCUCAGUUUCACCGUGUGUGAAGUGAAGAGGGUGGAUGAUUGAGCUCAAGCACGGUCUUUCCAGUGGACAACGUUUUGACAAGAUAUGAGUUUUGACAAACGUAUGCAUCACCAUCAAGGCUCAGUUCAGCCUCCCCAGAGCGUCCUCUCGCGCCCCUUCACAGCGAUCUGCUGUCUGUUCCUAUGGCUGGAAUGUUGUACGGUGGGAUCCUACGGAUCAGCUCCCUUGCAUCUGGCUGCCUCCACUCAGCACGGUGUCUGUGAGAUUCAUCCAUGUUGUUGGGUGGAGCAGUUGUCUGUGCCUUUGUCAUACUGAGGAGUACUCCGUCGCAUGGCUAGACCACAAUUCGUUCAUCCAUUCACCUGUGCCGGGACGUUUGGGCUCUUUUGGCUUUUUUCCAGUUUUUGGCUAUUGUGAAUAAAGUGCCUGUGAAUAUCCAUGUACUGGUUUUUGUGUGAACACAGGUUUUCAUUUCUCUAGGUAAACAGCAGGGAGGGUAUUGCUGAGUCAUGUGUUAAGGAUGUGUUUACCUUUGUAAGAAACUGCCAAACUGAUUUCCAAAGUGGCUGGACAGCUCUGCACUCCCACCAGCAGUGCGGGAGGGGUCCAGUGGCUCCACAUCCCCAUCAGCACUUGGUAUUGUCUGUCUGGGUUCCUUCCUUCUGCUGCUCUCCACUCCCUGCCGAUCCUGGAGACCCAAGGCCUGCCAAUGCCUCCUCUCCUCCCAGGCCCUCCCAGCCCCUCUGCCCCGCUUCUCAGGCCUGCCUUAGGCCAGCAGCCUCGGGGGCGGGGGGGUUGUGGUUCUGGGGAGACAUAGAAACUUUCAGGCUCAACUUGUUUGGAGACCUGGCCUGAGAUGUAAUUUCACGUGCAACCUUUCAACUCCGCAAAGCAGGUGAACUGGGGCCUUUUUAGAAUCACCGGCUUCCGCAGGGCCAAGAAUUUUGUUUUGCUCAUUUUAAUUGUGACUUUCUCUUUCUUCAGGUCUAUGCUCAACUGUCAGCUUCUCGGAGAGGCCAUUGCUGCCAGCGGGUGCAGAACCAGACUUUGUGGGGUCUGAAGAUUAUCUAAUUUUAGAGUGCUCUUUAGGAAAAAGAAUCCAUGAUUGGGGAUACAAAUUUUGGUAGGGAAGGAUUGAGAAUGGGCACAAGAAGGAUCCUGAACACACAGAGAGCUCUGAGCUUAAGCUUGAUUAGCUUUGGGCGAGUCCACCUCUGCUGGCCCCAUUAAAUGAAUCAGGCAUCCUGCCCCUCGUCUCUCUGGUCCAGCCCUGUGCCUUGGCUUCUUUCUCUUGACAGUGUGCAGUGUCACCCAAUGUCAUACUCUAUCUCUGUUUGGUCUCUCUGUCUCCCCCACAGGAACGUACUCUCUGUGAGGGCCAGGUUAGUCCACUCCUGUAUCGCCAGCACACCCAGAACAGUACUUGGAACAUGAUGGACACUCAGUAAAUAGUGAUUAAACAAAGGGAGAAAUGCUUUCCACAUGCUGCUGGUAUUCUCUCUGUAGAAAUGAGAUCGAGUCUUAAAAGUGAAUCAAUGCAUAGAAAAAGAGGACGCUCAUAGUGGUGUGCGCAGAAAUGGCCGAGGCCACAGGGAUGGACGUGUGAGAUGCUCUGGGGUGACAGAAUAGGAAACUGGCAUUUACUGAGCACCUGCUCUGGGCCUGGCAUUUUCUACACAUUGUUGUCCUAAACUCUCACAGUAACCUUUGAGGCGGCACCAUUAUCCCCAUUUUGCAGGAAACCGAGGCACAGCAGGGCGAAGUCACUCGACCACCUGUCACAUUGCUGGUGAGUAGGACGCUGGAAUGUCCACCCAGGUUUGCCCUUUCUCUUGCCUCAGGGUGCCUAGACAAGGCCCCACUCCGUCCUCUGAGCCCCUUAAAGCUCUUCACUCCGUGUUCCAAGGGGAGGAGGGGCCUCCGAGGGUCAAGUUCUCAGAGCUGAACCCAAGGUGAGCAGGGUUACACGGCCUGGAGAAGGGAGAGGAUCGUGUCCUCUAACUGCACAGCGGGGAGGGCAAAGGGAGGCUCUGUCACCUCCUGAGCAAGAGCCCUGCCCAGGUCAACUUAAACUAGUCUAUCCUGGAAGGGAACUGUGUUUGUUGUUAAACAAAGUCCCAGGGGCUGGGCCCCAAAGAGGGCGAGCUCUGAGCAGCUUCCAGGGCUUGACUUGAUUUAAAGAGAAUAGGGAGCGUGCCAGGAACCCAGAAACGCUUCCUGCCCCAGAUGCCAGAAAUUCCCCCAGCCCCGCCCCUGAGCACGUGGGGAGCCGCUGCACCUGUCCCUGUCAGAGCUGCCUCCUUCGCUCCUGUGGACACCAACCCACCCACUUCACAGGUAGGCCCGAGGACUAAUUACAGUCAUGGCAUACAGAAAAGCACUAAACACCUGUGGAUUCUCUCUCCUCCCUGACUUCUAAAAAGAUCUUGAACUUUGGGUUUGUGACUAAUGUCAGCCUGGUAACCCUUCAUUGCUCCUGCCUGGAACACUCACCUUUGCCCCAGCUCUGCAUAUGAUGUCAUCUUCAUCCCAGUGUCAUCAUUUUGGUCAUAGCAGCCUUUUGUUUAGGACCCAGUCUGUGCCAGGCACUGCUCAUCUAUCACCUUUUGUCCUGACCACAAUUCUGCAAAGUAAAGUUUAUUAUUCCCAUUUUGUGGAUGGAGAGACUGAGGCCCCCCAGACCACAAGCAGUGCAGCUGGGCUGAGGAGCACAGACCUUGCUCCAUCUCCCAGGUCACUUCUCUUCUCUCCUGUCUUUCUCCUUACUCUACUCCAAG